This 490-nucleotide ribosomal RNA is filed under the name uncultured bacterium. RNAcentral's name for it is "partial 16S ribosomal RNA". It matches the Rfam family "Bacterial small subunit ribosomal RNA", at positions 30 to 507 of the family's 1533-position model. The record is from RNAcentral.
AUUGAACGCUGGCGGCAGGCCUAACACAUGCGAGUCGAACGGUAACAGGGAUCAGCUUGCUGAUUCGCUGACGAGUGGCGGACGGGUGAGUAAUGUCUGGGAAACUGCCUGAUGGAGGGGGAUAACUACUGGAAACGGUAGCUAAUACCGCAUAACGUCGCAAGACCAAAGAGGGGGACCUUCGGGCCUCUUGCCAUCGGAUGUGCCCAGAUGGGAUUAGCUAGUAGGUGGGGUAACGGCUCACCUAGGCGACGAUCCCUAGCUGGUCUGAGAGGAUGACCAGCCACACUGGAACUGAGACACGGUCCAGACUCCUACGGGAGGCAGCAGUGGGGAAUAUUGCACAAUGGGCGCAAGCCUGAUGCAGCCAUGCCGCGUGUAUGAAGAAGGCCUUCGGGUUGUAAAGUACUUUCAGCGGGGAGGAAGGGAGUAAAGUUAAUACCUUUGCUCAUUGACGUUACCCGCAGAAGAAGCACCGGCUAACUCCGUG